RNAcentral lists this ribosomal RNA (408 nucleotides) under uncultured bacterium. Its description in RNAcentral is "partial 16S ribosomal RNA". It matches the Rfam family "Bacterial small subunit ribosomal RNA", at positions 29 to 526 of the family's 1533-position model. The record is from RNAcentral.
AGUGAACGCUGGCGGCGUGCCUAAUACAUGCAAGUCGAACGAAGUGGCGCACGGGUGAGUAAUAUAUAGUUAAUCUGCCCUACACAGAGGAACAACAGUUGGAAACGACUGCUAAUACCUCAUAGUGUAGGAUGAGACAAUAUCGUAUCAGCUAGUUGGUAAGGUAAUGGCUUACCAAGGCUAUGACGCGUAACUGGUCUGAGAGGAUGAUCAGUCCCGUUGGAAGGGAGACACGGUUCAAACACAUACGGGAGGCAGCAGUAAGGAGUAGUGCGCAAUGGUGGAGUACCUAACGCAGCAACGCCGCGUAGAGGAUUACCCGUGUCGGAGCGUAAACUCCUUUUAUCAGGAAAGCGGUACCUGCUGAAUAAGCACCGGCUAACUCCGUGCCAGCCGCCGCGGUAAUAC